This is a long non-coding RNA of Scophthalmus maximus (turbot), 1740 nucleotides long. The record is from Ensembl. NCBI's taxonomy places the organism in Eukaryota, Metazoa, Chordata, Actinopteri, Pleuronectiformes, Scophthalmidae.
AUGCGCGCUCCGCAGAGGACGUUCUUUUCCUCUGAACCUUAUUCUCAGCAACAUCCAUCAAUAUCAGGCGGUCGGUCUCCGCACGUCCUGCAGGAGAAGAUGUGCCCCUGUGUCUUAUUCACGGCCCUUCUUUCCAUUCCCCUCGCUGUGGGUUGGGUAAUACCAGCUGAAAGAGAAGAACUCCACAGGGUUUGUGCCGGGAAGGAAUUCCGCCUGCCAGUGUACUCAACGUCACGAACGGUGACUUUUACCCCAAACACUGAAGGACCUAAGCAUGUCCUGUUGGACAAAACCACCGUGAGUGGAAGUGUGUUUGCGCUCAUGUUUGUGGGUUUUUUUUUGUUGUGCAUGCAGAUUGUCAAAACCUAUUUACAUCUGCAGGUAAAGGAUCCACGGUUCGAAUGGACCAGAGAUAAGAUGUUGGUACUGAAAGAGGUGACUCACAGUGAUGAUGGACUUUUUGCCAUCAAACUCUCGUCUGGAUUCACCUACGAGACUGUUCGUCUGAUUGUUUCAGAAUGCAUUAAGUCCUACCACAGAAACUACGGGGAGAACUUUGAGCACAUCAUCCCAGAAAAUGGCUCCCUACUGGAGUUUUCUCCCCGAGGUGCUCCAUCUAAGGCCAUGCCCAUUGUGCUUUGGAACCGGACGGAACCUGAAACCAGUGAUGCGAGGCGGGGUCGGCUGAUGCGAGGCGGGAAGGUGUGGGUGGCCGAGAAAGUGACUCAAGUGGACCAAGGCAACUACACUGUGAGAGACGCGCAGGGGAAGGUGCUGUCCCGCAGCACCCUCGCUGUCCGUGGACACUCAUACAAUGUCACCCGCUUCAGCAAGGAGACUCUAAACCUGCCCCUCUUUCUACCUGUACAUCAUGCCCACCUCGUUUUUACCCCCACCCAACACCCUGAUGAAUCCUCACUGAGCCAUUUUGACCCCAAGCCCCCCCACGGAGCUGUGCAUCUUAUCCGCGAUGGCCAAAUAACAGACUACGACAUGCGCUACAGGGGCCUCAUCUCCCUGGGCAGGAAAGGUACCACCAAUGAGGUCGUCAUAGCGAGGCUGACCUCAAGGCAUGACGGGGUGUAUGAAAUUAGAGAUGGGAAUGGCAACCUGGUGUCCUCCACCUUAUUACAGGUGAUUGAAAAGGGGCCCAGAUGGCGAUCAUUCCUCAAGUCCAUCACUGUCCCUUCUGGGAUGUUCGUGUCAUUGGCUGGUUUCAUCUUUUUCAUGAGGCGCUACCCAAACUGCAGCCUGUCCAAGAUCAUCGCUGGCCUCAGAGUAAACCGCACACCACCAGCCAACCCUCCGAGAGUUAACAUCCAGGACUACAGCCAGCCCGUCUCUGAGCCCUCAGAAUACAACAGUCACUCCCAGCAGCCUGGACCACCAACAAAAUGGAGCCCGAGAGCCAGUCCUACUCAUAGUGGUUACACUCCAGUAACUGUCGGUACUCCGAGAGCUGAGAACCAGGGAACACACAGAUUGACAGCUGGGAGAUCCCCAUGUCAUAAUUCAACACCUGAGCGGGACUCAUCUAAUGAGGAACAGAGAAGGAUUUCCUUUUCAGUGCCUGGGGCUUCAGAUUGCCUCCACUCGUCCGAGGACUGUGUUCAAUUUCAGAUCAAGAAAGAUGGAGAUAAAAAAAGUUGGAGCCAAUCGCAAGAAUACUUCUCCACACUGCCACUAGACACAAACACCUCUGAAUCCUGCAGUGUUUACUCUUCUGAGAAACUGAACUGA